Molecule: ribosomal RNA, 253 nt
Filed under: uncultured bacterium
Lineage: Bacteria
Description: partial 16S ribosomal RNA
Rfam family: Bacterial small subunit ribosomal RNA
Source: RNAcentral
UACGGGGGGGGCUAGCGUUGUUCGGAAUUACUGGGCGUAAAGGGCUCGUAGGCGGCCAACUAAGUCAGACGUGAAAUCCCCAGGCUUAACCUGGGAACUGCGUCUGAUACUGGAUGGCUUGAAUUCGGGAGAGGGAUGCAGAAUUCCAGGUGUAGCGGUGAAAUGCGUAGAUAUCUGGAGGAAUACCGGUGGCGAAGGCGGCAUCCUGGACCGAGAUUGACGCUGAUGAGCGAAAGCUAGGGGAGCAAACGGG